This 75-nucleotide transfer RNA is filed under the name Pseudochloris wilhelmii. Its description in RNAcentral is "tRNA-Arg". It matches the Rfam family "tRNA". Rfam says of the family: Transfer RNA (tRNA) molecules are approximately 80 nucleotides in length. Their secondary structure includes four short double-helical elements and three loops (D, anti-codon, and T loops). The record is from RNAcentral. Lineage: Eukaryota; Viridiplantae; Chlorophyta; Trebouxiophyceae; Chlorellales; Chlorellaceae.
AGGCUUGUAGCUCAGUGGAAUAAGAGUACGUGUUUCCGACACACGUUGUCGUGGGUUCAAUUCCCACCAGGCCUA